This 774-nucleotide ribosomal RNA is filed under the name uncultured Neocallimastigales. Its description in RNAcentral is "partial large subunit ribosomal RNA". It matches the Rfam family "Eukaryotic large subunit ribosomal RNA", at positions 22 to 633 of the family's 3401-position model. The record is from RNAcentral. Lineage: Eukaryota; Fungi; Neocallimastigomycota; Neocallimastigomycetes; Neocallimastigales.
UGUGUAUCAGUACAUGGCAUAUCAAUAAGCGGAGGAAAAGAAACUAACAAGGAUUCCCUUAGUAACGGCGAAUGAAGCGGGAAGAGCUCAAAUUUGAAAUCUUCAAGGUUCUACCUUGACGAAUUGUAGUUUAUAGAAGUGUUUUCUGUUAGUAGAGUGGUAAAAGUUCUUUGGAAUAGGACAUCAUAGAGGGUGAGAAUCCCGUAUUUGACCAUUAUUUCCAACUUUGUGAUACACUUUCAAAGAGUCGGAUUGUUUGGGAAUGCAGUCCAAAAUGGGUGGUAAAUUUCAUCUAAAGCUAAAUACUGGCGAGAGACCGAUAGCGAACAAGUACCGUGAGGGAAAGAUGAAAAGAACUUUGAAAAGAGAGUUAAACAGUACGUGAAAUUGUCAAAAGGGAAGCGUUUGACACCAGUGCUGUUUUCUCGAAAAUCAAUUAAAAAUGGUGGGAUGUUGUGUUGUAUUGACUUUAUCAGCUUUCUGCACUUUUUUCCUGUCUUUUUUAAUGCACUUUUCGUUUAACAAGUCAACAUCAAUUUCUUUUGUUGUAAAAGAGUCAUUGGAAGGUGGCUUUCCUUUCGGAGAAAGUGUUUAUAGCCUUUGAUCUCUGCAACCGGAGAGACUGAGGUCUGCAGCGUAGACUCUUCGGGGUUAGAUACAUUUGUGCUAAGCUAUAGCUUUUUAUAGACAACUUGUUGACUAUAUUUAGUCUUGUGGCUUACUCGCUUAUGCUAUUUUACCUACGCUUAGGAUGUUGACAGCAGUAUAGACUGU